CCUACGGGUGGCAGCAGUGAGGAAUAUUGGUCAAUGGACGGAAGUCUGAACCAGCCAAGUCGCGUGCAGGAAGACGGCCCUAUGAGUUGUAAACUUCUUUUGUACGAGAGUAAACCUGAAUACGUGUAUUCGGCUGAAAGUACCGUACGAAUAAGGAUCGGCUAAAUCCGUGCCAGCAGCCGCGGUAAUACGGAGGAUCCAAGCGUUAUCCGGAUUUAUUGGGGUUAAAGGGUGCGUAGGCGGGUUGAUAAGGUAGUGGGUAAAUGUCCGAGGUUAACCAGGGAACUGCCAUUAAUACUGGUGUUCUAGAGAGUAGAAGCGGUAGGCGGAAUGUAUGGUGUAGCGGUGAAAUGCUUAGAUAUCACACAGAACACCGAUUGCGAAGGCAGCUUACCAGUCUAUAUCUGACGUUGAGGCACGAAAGCGUGGGGAGCAAACAGGAUUAGAUACCCCGGUAGUC
RNAcentral lists this ribosomal RNA (460 nucleotides) under uncultured bacterium. RNAcentral describes it as "partial 16S ribosomal RNA". It matches the Rfam family "Bacterial small subunit ribosomal RNA", at positions 338 to 795 of the family's 1533-position model. The record is from RNAcentral.